This 295-nucleotide unclassified non-coding RNA is filed under the name Hevea brasiliensis (rubber tree). The record is from RNAcentral. Lineage: Eukaryota; Viridiplantae; Streptophyta; Magnoliopsida; Malpighiales; Euphorbiaceae.
GUGUGUGUGUGUGUGUGUUUAAUUUUAAUUUUCUUAAUGUACCAUUUAUCAUUUCAACAUGGGUUUAAUAACCUAUUUGACCAUUUUCUUUUGGCCUAUUGGGUUAGGGCUAGAAAAUAGAGGGUAGUCCUCAAUGACCUCUGCCUGAAAAAAUAGGUCUGGAUAUGAGAAUGAUUAGCAAAGUCAUGGCGCAUCAAGCAUGCAUGAAUUAAUUCUUAAACAACUUUACUUUAGAAGACUUGUUCCUUGCAUUUUUGGUUUGAUAUGCAGAUCUUAUCAUCUUUUUUCAAUGUAG